UGCACCUAAAUGGAAGCCUUUGAGCAGA
Molecule: non-coding RNA, 28 nt
Filed under: Homo sapiens (human)
Lineage: Eukaryota; Metazoa; Chordata; Mammalia; Primates; Hominidae
Source: RNAcentral